This 2922-nucleotide ribosomal RNA is filed under the name Salmonella enterica. RNAcentral's name for it is "23S ribosomal RNA". It matches the Rfam family "Bacterial large subunit ribosomal RNA". Lineage: Bacteria; Pseudomonadati; Pseudomonadota; Gammaproteobacteria; Enterobacterales; Enterobacteriaceae. The record is from RNAcentral.
GGGUUGUGAGGUUAAGCGACUAAGCGUACACGGUGGAUGCCCUGGCAGUCAGAGGCGAUGAAGGGCGUGCUAAUCUGCGAUAAGCGCCGGUAAGGUGAUAUGAACCGUUAUAACCGGCGAUACCCGAAUGGGGAAACCCAGUGUGAUUCGUCACACUAUCAUUAACUGAAUCCAUAGGUUAAUGAGGCGAACCGGGGGAACUGAAACAUCUAAGUACCCCGAGGAAAAGAAAUCAACCGAGAUUCCCCCAGUAGCGGCGAGCGAACGGGGAGGAGCCCAGAGCCUGAAUCAGCAUGUGUGUUAGUGGAAGCGUCUGGAAAGGCGCGCGAUACAGGGUGACAGCCCCGUACACAAAAGCGCAUGUGCUGUGAGCUCGAUGAGUAGGGCGGGACACGUGGUAUCCUGUCUGAAUAUGGGGGGACCAUCCUCCAAGGCUAAAUACUCCUGACUGACCGAUAGUGAACCAGUACCGUGAGGGAAAGGCGAAAAGAACCCCGGCGAGGGGAGUGAAAAAGAACCUGAAACCGUGUACGUACAAGCAGUGGGAGCACCCUUUGGGUGUGACUGCGUACCUUUUGUAUAAUGGGUCAGCGACUUAUAUUCUGUAGCAAGGUUAACCGAAUAGGGGAGCCGGAGGGAAACCGAGUCUUAAUUGGGCGUUAAGUUGCAGGGUAUAGACCCGAAACCCGGUGAUCUAGCCAUGGGCAGGUUGAAGGUUGGGUAACACUAACUGGAGGACCGAACCGACUAAUGUUGAAAAAUUAGCGGAUGACCUGUGGCUGGGGGUGAAAGGCCAAUCAAACCGGGAGAUAGCUGGUUCUCCCCGAAAGCUAUUUAGGUAGCGCCUCGUGAAUUCAUCUCCGGGGUAGAGCACUGUUUCGGCUAGGGGCCAUCCCGGCUUACCAACCCGAUGCAAACUGCGAAUACCGGAGAAUGUUAUCACGGGAGACACACGGCGGGUGCUAACGUCCGUCGUGAAGAGGGAAACAACCCAGACCGCCAGCUAAGGUCCCAAAGUCAUGGUUAAGUGGGAAACGAUGUGGGAAGGCCCAGACAGCCAGGAUGUUGGCUUAGAAGCAGCCAUCAUUUAAAGAAAGCGUAAUAGCUCACUGGUCGAGUCGGCCUGCGCGGAAGAUGUAACGGGGCUAAACCAUGCACCGAAGCUGCGGCAGCGACACUGUGUGUUGUUGGGUAGGGGAGCGUUCUGUAAGCCUGUGAAGGUGUGUCGUGAGGCAUGCUGGAGGUAUCAGAAGUGCGAAUGCUGACAUAAGUAACGAUAAAGCGGGUGAAAAGCCCGCUCGCCGGAAGACCAAGGGUUCCUGUCCAACGUUAAUCGGGGCAGGGUGAGUCGACCCCUAAGGCGAGGCCGAAAGGCGUAGUCGAUGGGAAACGGGUUAAUAUUCCCGUACUUGGUGUUACUGCGAAGGGGGGACGGAGAAGGCUAUGUUGGCCGGGCGACGGUUGUCCCGGUUUAAGCGUGUAGGUGUGUGUUCGGUAAAAAUCCGGUUCACUUUAACACUGAGGCGUGACGACGAGGCACUACGGUGCUGAAGCAACAAAUGCCCUGCUUCCAGGAAAAGCCUCUAAGCAUCAGGUAACAUCAAAUCGUACCCCAAACCGACACAGGUGGUCAGGUAGAGAAUACCAAGGCGCUUGAGAGAACUCGGGUGAAGGAACUAGGCAAAAUGGUGCCGUAACUUCGGGAGAAGGCACGCUGACACGUAGGUGAAGUGAUUUACUCAUGGAGCUGAAGUCAGUCGAAGAUACCAGCUGGCUGCAACUGUUUAUUAAAAACACAGCACUGUGCAAACACGAAAGUGGACGUAUACGGUGUGACGCCUGCCCGGUGCCGGAAGGUUAAUUGAUGGGGUCAGCGCAAGCGAAGCUCCUGAUCGAAGCCCCGGUAAACGGCGGCCGUAACUAUAACGGUCCUAAGGUAGCGAAAUUCCUUGUCGGGUAAGUUCCGACCUGCACGAAUGGCGUAAUGAUGGCGGGCUGUCUCCACCCGAGACUCAGUGAAAUUGAACUCGCUGUGAAGAUGCAGUGUACCCGCGGCAAGACGGAAAGACCCCGUGAACCUUUACUAUAGCUUGACACUGAACAUUGAGCCUUGAUGUGUAGGAUAGGUGGGAGGCUUUGAAGUGUGGACGCCAGUCUGCAUGGAGCCGACCUUGAAAUACCACCCUUUAAUGUUUGAUGUUCUAACGUGGACCCGUUACCCGGGUUGCGGACAGUGUCUGGUGGGUAGUUUGACUGGGGCGGUCUCCUCCUAAAGAGUAACGGAGGAGCACGAAGGUUGGCUAAUCCUGGUCGGACAUCAGGAGGUUAGUGCAAUGGCAUAAGCCAGCUUGACUGCGAGCGUGACGGCGCGAGCAGGUGCGAAAGCAGGUCAUAGUGAUCCGGUGGUUCUGAAUGGAAGGGCCAUCGCUCAACGGAUAAAAGGUACUCCGGGGAUAACAGGCUGAUACCGCCCAAGAGUUCAUAUCGACGGCGGUGUUUGGCACCUCGAUGUCGGCUCAUCACAUCCUGGGGCUGAAGUAGGUCCCAAGGGUAUGGCUGUUCGCCAUUUAAAGUGGUACGCGAGCUGGGUUUAGAACGUCGUGAGACAGUUCGGUCCCUAUCUGCCGUGGGCGCUGGAGAACUGAGGGGGGCUGCUCCUAGUACGAGAGGACCGGAGUGGACGCAUCACUGGUGUUCGGGUUGUCAUGCCAAUGGCACUGCCCGGUAGCUAAAUGCGGAAGAGAUAAGUGCUGAAAGCAUCUAAGCACGAAACUUGCCCCGAGAUGAGUUCUCCCUGAGACUUAGAGUCUCCUGAAGGAACGUUGAAGACGACGACGUUGAUAGGCCGGGUGUGUAAGCGCAGCGAUGCGUUGAGCUAACCGGUACUAAUGAACCGUGAGGCUUAACCUUACAACGCCGAAG